CAGCAGCCGCGGGAAUACGUAGGGUGCGAGCGUUGUCCGGAAUUAUUGGGCGUAAAGAGCUUGUAGGUGGUUUGUCGCGUCUGCUGUGAAAAUCCGAGGCUCAACCUCGGACUUGCAGUGGGUACGGGCAGACUAGAGUGUGGUAGGGGAGACUGGAAUUCCUGGUGUAGCGGUGGAAUGCGCAGAUAUCAGGAGGAACACCGAUGGCGAAGGCAGGUCUCUGGGCCAUUACUGACACUGAGAAGCGAAAGCAUGGGGAGCGAACAGGAUUAGAUACCCGAGUAGUCCCUGUCUCUUAUAC
This 301-nucleotide ribosomal RNA is filed under the name uncultured bacterium. RNAcentral's name for it is "partial 16S ribosomal RNA". It matches the Rfam family "Bacterial small subunit ribosomal RNA", at positions 509 to 807 of the family's 1533-position model. The record is from RNAcentral.